GACGAACGCUGGCGGCAUGCCUAAUACAUGCAAGUCGAGCGGCCGCAUAGUAACUUGUUCCCCGACCGUCAGCCGCGUACCGGUCAGUAACACAUUGGCAACCUGCCUGUAAGUCUGUGAUAACUCCCGUAAACCGGCUCUCGUUCCUACUAACUCUUUCCCUCACAUGAGGGCAAGCUGUCUUAUGACAUCUCGCUAUCACUUACACAUGUGCCCGCGUCGCAUUAGCUAGUUGGUGAGGUAACGGCUCACCAAGGCGACGAUGCGUAGCCGAUCUGAGAGGAUGAUCGGCCACACUGGAACUGAGACACGGCCCAGACUCCUACGGGAGGCAGCAGUGGGGAAUAUUGGGCAAUGGACGAAAGUCUGACGGAGCAACACCGCGUGAGUGAAGAAGGUUUUCGGAUUGUAAAACUCUGUUGUCAGGGAAGAACAGGAACCGGAGUAAAUGCCGGUAUCUUGACGGUACCUGAAGAGAAAGCAACGGCUAACUACGUG
RNAcentral lists this ribosomal RNA (498 nucleotides) under uncultured bacterium. RNAcentral describes it as "partial 16S ribosomal RNA". It matches the Rfam family "Bacterial small subunit ribosomal RNA", at positions 28 to 507 of the family's 1533-position model. The record is from RNAcentral.